GAUGAACGCUGGCGGCGUGCCUAAUACAUGCAAGUCGAGCGAACGGACGAGAAGCUUGCUUCUCUGAUGUUAGCGGCGGACAGGUGAGUAACACGUGGAUAACCUACCUAUAAGACUGGGAUAACUUCGGGAAACCGGAGCUAAUACCGGAUAAUAUUUUGAACCGCAUGGUUCAAAAGCGAAAGACGGUCUUGCUGUCACUUAUAGAUGGAUCCGCGCUGCAUUAGCUAGUUGGUAAGGUAACGGCUUACCAAGGCAACGAUGCAUAGCCGACCUGAGAGGGUGAUCGGCCACACUGGAACUGAGACACGGUCCAGACUCCUACGGGAGGCAGCAGUAGGGAAUCUUCCGCAAUGGGCGAAAGCCUGACGGAGCAACGCCGCGUGAGUGAUGAAGGUCUUCGGAUCGUAAAACUCUGUUAUUAGGGAAGAACAUAUGUGUAAGUAACUGUGCACAUCUUGACGGUACCUAAUCAGAAAGCCACGGCUAACUACGUG
Molecule: ribosomal RNA, 497 nt
Filed under: uncultured bacterium
Lineage: Bacteria
Description: partial 16S ribosomal RNA
Rfam family: Bacterial small subunit ribosomal RNA
Source: RNAcentral